RNAcentral lists this ribosomal RNA (433 nucleotides) under uncultured bacterium. RNAcentral's name for it is "partial 16S ribosomal RNA". It matches the Rfam family "Bacterial small subunit ribosomal RNA", at positions 29 to 507 of the family's 1533-position model. The record is from RNAcentral.
AACGAACGCUGGCGGCAUGCCUAACACAUGUAAGUCGAACGAGACCUUCGGGUCUAGUGGCGCACGGGUGCGUAACGCGUGGGAACCUGCCCUUAGGUUCGGAAUAACUCCCCGAAAGGGGUGCUAAUACCGGAUAAUGUCUUCGGACCAAAGAUUUAUCGCCUUUGGAUGGGCCCGCGUUGGAUUAGCUAGUUGGUAGGGUAAAAGCCUAACAAGGCGACGAUCCAUAGCUGGUCUGAGAGGAUGAUCAGCCACACUGGGACUGAGACACGGCCCAGACUCCUACGGGAGGCAGCAGUGGGGAAUAUUGGACAAUGGGAGAAAGCCUGAUCCAGCAAUGCCGCGUGAGUGAUGAAGGCCUUAGGGUUGUAAAGCUCUUUUACCCGGGAUGAUAAUGACAGUACCGGGAGAAUAAGCUCCGGCUAACUCCGUG